CGGUGGAGCAUGUGGUUUAAUUCGAAGCAACGCGAAGAACCUUACCAGGUCUUGACAUCCUCUGACAACUCUAGAGAUAGAGCGUUCCCCUUCGGGGGACAGAGUGACAGGUGGUGCAUGGUUGUCGUCAGCUCGUGUCGUGAGAUGUUGGGUUAAGUCCCGCAACGAGCGCAACCCUUGAUCUUAGUUGCCAGCAUUCAGUUGGGCACUCUAAGGUGACUGCCGGUGACAAACCGGAGGAAGGUGGGGAUGACGUCAAAUCAUCAUGCCCCUUAUGACCUGGGCUACACACGUGCUACAAUGGAUGGUACAAAGGGCUGCAAGACCGCGAGGUCAAGCCAAUCCCAUAAAACCAUUCUCAUUCCGG
RNAcentral lists this ribosomal RNA (367 nucleotides) under bacterium enrichment culture DGGE gel band B3. RNAcentral's name for it is "bacterial SSU rRNA". It matches the Rfam family "Bacterial small subunit ribosomal RNA", at positions 930 to 1296 of the family's 1533-position model. The record is from RNAcentral.